This 471-nucleotide ribosomal RNA is filed under the name uncultured Desulfomonile sp. RNAcentral's name for it is "bacterial SSU rRNA". It matches the Rfam family "Bacterial small subunit ribosomal RNA", at positions 336 to 798 of the family's 1533-position model. The record is from RNAcentral. Lineage: Bacteria; Pseudomonadati; Thermodesulfobacteriota; Desulfomonilia; Desulfomonilales; Desulfomonilaceae.
UUCCUACGGGGGGCUGCAGUGAGGAAUAUUGCGCAAUGGAGGAAACUCUGACGCAGCAACGCCGCGUGGGUGAAGAAGGCUUUCGGGUUGUAAAGCCCUGUCAGGCGGGAAGAAACCUUUACGGAUAAAUAGUCCGUGAAACUGACGGUACCGCCAAAGGAAGCACCGGCUAACUCCGUGCCAGCAGCCGCGGUAAGACGGAGGGUGCAAGCGUUGUUCGGAAUCACUGGGCGUAAAGCGCGUGUAGGCGGUUCGAUAAGUCGAAUGUGAAAGCCCGAGGCUCAACCUCGGAAGUGCAUUCGAAACUGUCGGGCUUGAGUACGGGAGAGGGAAGUGGAAUUCCUGGUGUAGAGGUGAAAUUCGUAGAUAUCAGGAGGAACACCGGUGGCGAAGGCGGCUUCCUGGACCGAUACUGACGCUGAGACGCGAAAGCGUGGGGAGCAAACAGGAUUAGAUACCCCGGUAGUCUGA